GGGGAAUAUUGGACAAUGGACCACAAGUCUGAUCCAGCAAUUCUGUGUGCACGAUGACGUUUUUCGGAAUGUAAAGUGCUUUCAGUCGGGAAGAAGUCAGUGACGGUACCGACAGAAGAAGCGACGGCUAAAUACGUGCCAGCAGCCGCGGUAAUACGUAUGUCGCAAGCGUUAUCCGGAUUUAUUGGGCGUAAAGCGCGUCUAGGCGGCAAGGAAAGUCUGAUGUGAAAAUGCGGAGCUCAACUCCGUAUGGCGUUGGAAACUGCCUUACUAGAGUACUGGAGAGGUAGGCGGAACUACAAGUGUAGAGGUGAAAUUCGUAGAUAUUUGUAGGAAUGCCGAUGGGGAAGCCAGCCUACUGGACAGAUACUGACGCUAAAGCGCGAAAGCGUGGGUAGCAAACAGGAUUAGAUACCCUGGUAGUCCACGCUGUAAACGAUGAUUACUAGGUGUUGGGGGUCAAACCUCAGCGCCCAAGCUAACGCGAUAAGUAAUCCGCCUGGGGAGUACGUACGCAAGUAUG
This 523-nucleotide ribosomal RNA is filed under the name uncultured bacterium. Its description in RNAcentral is "bacterial SSU rRNA". It matches the Rfam family "Bacterial small subunit ribosomal RNA", at positions 356 to 896 of the family's 1533-position model. The record is from RNAcentral.